RNAcentral lists this unclassified non-coding RNA (201 nucleotides) under plant metagenome. Its description in RNAcentral is "partial contains small subunit ribosomal RNA, internal transcribed spacer 1, and 5.8S ribosomal RNA". The record is from RNAcentral.
UCUCCGUUGGUGAGCCAGCGGAGGGAUCAUUACCGAGUUUAUAACUCCCAAACCCUAUGUGAACUUACCACUUGUUGCUUCGGCGCGCGCUUCGGUGCCGCCGAGGACACUUAAACUCUUUGUUUUUAUAAGCAUUUCUGAGUGGCCGAAAGGCAAAAUACAAAUGAAUCAAAACUUUCAACAACGGAUCUCUUGGUUCUG